This 400-nucleotide ribosomal RNA is filed under the name Pseudomonas japonica. Its description in RNAcentral is "bacterial SSU rRNA". It matches the Rfam family "Bacterial small subunit ribosomal RNA", at positions 238 to 630 of the family's 1533-position model. Lineage: Bacteria; Pseudomonadati; Pseudomonadota; Gammaproteobacteria; Pseudomonadales; Pseudomonadaceae. The record is from RNAcentral.
GGAUUAGCUAGUUGGUGAGGUAAUGGCUCACCAAGGCUACGAUCCGUAACUGGUCUGAGAGGAUGAUCAGUCACACUGGAACUGAGACACGGUCCAGACUCCUACGGGAGGCAGCAGUGGGGAAUAUUGGACAAUGGGCGAAAGCCUGAUCCAGCCAUGCCGCGUGUGUGAAGAAGGUCUUCGGAUUGUAAAGCACUUUAAGUUGGGAGGAAGGGCAGUAAGCGAAUACCUUGCUGUUUUGACGUUACCGACAGAAUAAGCACCGGCUAACUCUGUGCCAGCAGCCGCGGUAAUACAGAGGGUGCAAGCGUUAAUCGGAAUUACUGGGCGUAAAGCGCGCGUAGGUGGUUCGUUAAGUUGGAUGUGAAAUCCCCGGGCUCAACCUGGGAACUGCAUCCAA